CUACGGGGUGCUGCAGUGGGGAAUAUUGGACAAUGGGGGAAACCCUGAUCCAGCAAUGCCGCGUGUGUGAAGAAGGCCUGCGGGUUGUAAAGCACUUUCGGUUGGGAGGACUGCUUCUAGCACUAAUAUUGUUGGAAGUUGACGUUACCUUCAGAAGAAGCACCGGCUAACUCCGUGCCAGCAGCCGCGGUAAUACGGAGGGUGCAAGCGUUAAUCGGAAUUACUGGGCGUAAAGCGCGCGUAGGCGGCUAGAUCAGUCGGAUGUGAAAGCCCCGGGCUUAACCUGGGAACUGCAUCCGAUACUGUCUAGCAUGAGUACAGGAGAGGAGAGUGGAAUUCCACAUGUAGCGGUGAAAUGCGUAGAUAUGUGGAGGAACACCAAUGGCGAAGGCAGCUCUCUGGCCUGAUACUGACGCUGAGGUGCGAAAGCGUGGGAGCAAACAGGAUUAGAUACCCCCGUAGUC
Molecule: ribosomal RNA, 464 nt
Filed under: uncultured bacterium
Lineage: Bacteria
Description: partial 16S ribosomal RNA
Rfam family: Bacterial small subunit ribosomal RNA
Source: RNAcentral